AUUUUGACUGUGCAAAGGUAGCAUAAUCAUUAGUCUUUUAAUUGGGGACUGGUAUGAAUGGUUUAACGAAGUAUUAACUGUCUCAUUUUAAUAAAUUGAAAUUAACUUUUGAGUCAAAAGGCUUAAAUAAAGUUAGAGGACGAGAAGACCCUAUAGAGCUUUAUAAAUUUAAUAUAAAAUGUAAUUUGGAGGUUUAGUUUAAUUUAAGUAAAAAAUUUAUUUUAUUGGGGUGAUAUGAAGAUUUAAUAAACUCUUUAUAAUGAUUGAACACUAGUAAGUGAAUAAUUGAUCCAUUUUUAGUGAUUAUAAGAUUAAGUUACCUUAGGGAUAACAGCGUAAUGUUUUUUGAGAGUUCUUAUCAACAAAAAAGAUUGCGACCUCGAUGUUGGAUUAAGGAAAAAGUUGGG
Molecule: ribosomal RNA, 407 nt
Filed under: Troglophilus tatyanae
Lineage: Eukaryota; Metazoa; Arthropoda; Insecta; Orthoptera; Rhaphidophoridae
Description: partial 16S ribosomal RNA
Rfam family: Bacterial large subunit ribosomal RNA
Source: RNAcentral